AGCAGAGUAAAUGGCCCAAAAUGGCGGCCAUCAGGUUUCCCACCAUUGGAAUGACAGGCAACAGGACCAUGCAUCUGACGAGUGGUUAUUCCUCUUUCCUCUGCUACCAAAUUGAUCGCAUUAUUCGGAUGAUCUUUACCAGCUGGAAGUUAUCGCUUGGACACGAAAUGGAGCUCUCUUGGUUCUUAUCGAGGCGUAAGAGGUGUAGUGGAGAAUCAGCUGGCUUCAGUGCAGACACAGCUGCAAAGGCAAAUUCUAGAUUCGUGUCCCAGCAAUAAGAGGUGGAUCAGUCUUCAAAAUGGAUGUUGAACUCCAGAGAGAAAAGAGUCCAAGUGACGUUAGCUUCUCAUUUGCUGGUUACACAGAAGGCGGCAAUGCUGAAUGAAUUCGUAUCUAAGCUGCCUUGUGGUCCGGUGCAAUUCUUGGAAGUGUCAUGUUGGAUUGUUUGCUUAAUAAUACUGAUUUGUAAGAAAUCAUGAAAGUAUCCAUUUGAUAACUUCAUCAGUGGGAAAACAUUACGUUCCAUCGGCUGUGCCUUGAAAUAAAGCAAGUACUUAUGGCAAUAGAUAUAUUGAAAGUGUUAAAAAAUAAAAAGGUCCUAUUACUUAGGAUCUGUGUAAAAAGGAAUGGAGUCCUCCAAAGAGUCUUCAGGGGUUUCUCCUACUUUCCUUCGGGCAGUGACACCGUAAUAAUUUGGUUACAGCGAUGUCAUUAUGCCACGACAGCAGUGGAUUUUCUCCCCCGAGGUGAUGUGGACAUCACCCAGCUUUAAGACACAACUUACCUUCUGUCUACAGUUUUAUUUUGUUGGUACCGGAUUCGAAAUAAAAUGAAGUGUCAGUUGGUGUA
Long non-coding RNA from Felis catus (domestic cat), 849 nucleotides. RefSeq lists it as uncharacterized. The record is from RefSeq and is a predicted model, not a curated record. NCBI's taxonomy places the organism in Eukaryota, Metazoa, Chordata, Mammalia, Carnivora, Felidae. The transcript is spliced from 3 exons.